This 652-nucleotide ribosomal RNA is filed under the name uncultured Bacteroidota bacterium. RNAcentral's name for it is "bacterial SSU rRNA". It matches the Rfam family "Bacterial small subunit ribosomal RNA", at positions 35 to 681 of the family's 1533-position model. The record is from RNAcentral. Lineage: Bacteria; Pseudomonadati; Bacteroidota.
GCUAGACGGCAGGCCUAACACAUGCAAGUCGAGGGGCAGCAGACCGCUUCGGUGGUGCUGGCGACCGGCGCACGGGUGAGUAUCGCGUUUGUAACCUACCCUUAACCGGGGGAUAGCCCGAAGAAAUUCGGAUUAAUACCCCAUAAUAUCUAAAUACGGCAUCGUGCUUUCAUUAAAGCUCCGGCGGUUAAGGAUGGGCAUGCGUGACAUUAGUUUGUUGGUGAGGUAAUGGCUCACCAAGACUACGAUGUCUAGGGGGUCUGAGAGGAUGAUCCCCCACACUGGUACUGAGACACGGACCAGACUCCUACGGGAGGCAGCAGUGAGGAAUAUUGGUCAAUGGACGCAAGUCUGAACCAGCCAUGCCGCGUGCAGGAUGACGGCCCUAUGGGUUGUAAACUGCUUUUAUUCAGGAAGAAACCCUUUUACGUGUAAAAGGUUGACGGUACUGUAAGAAUAAGCAUCGGCUAACUCCGUGCCAGCAGCCGCGGUAAUACGGAGGAUGCAAGCGUUAUCCGGAUUUAUCGGGUUUAAAGGGUGCGUAGGCGGGGCAAUAAGUCAGCGGUGAAAUCCUGCGGCUUAACCGUAGAACUGCCAUUGAUACUGUUGCCCUUGAGUAUAGUUGAAGUGGGCGGAAUAUGUAAUGUAGCGG